RNAcentral lists this ribosomal RNA (885 nucleotides) under Limosilactobacillus fermentum. RNAcentral describes it as "bacterial SSU rRNA". It matches the Rfam family "Bacterial small subunit ribosomal RNA", at positions 37 to 906 of the family's 1533-position model. Lineage: Bacteria; Bacillati; Bacillota; Bacilli; Lactobacillales; Lactobacillaceae. The record is from RNAcentral.
AACGCGUUGGCCCAAUUGAUUGAUGGUGCUUGCACCUGAUUGAUUUUGGUCGCCAACGAGUGGCGGACGGGUGAGUAACACGUAGGUAACCUGCCCAGAAGCGGGGGACAACAUUUGGAAACAGAUGCUAAUACCGCAUAACAACGUUGUUCGCAUGAACAACGCUUAAAAGAUGGCUUCUCGCUAUCACUUCUGGAUGGACCUGCGGUGCAUUAGCUUGUUGGUGGGGUAAUGGCCUACCAAGGCGAUGAUGCAUAGCCGAGUUGAGAGACUGAUCGGCCACAAUGGGACUGAGACACGGCCCAUACUCCUACGGGAGGCAUCAGUAGGGAAUCUUCCACAAUGGGCGCAAGCCUGAUGGAGCAACACCGCGUGAGUGAAGAAGGGUUUCGGCUCGUAAAGCUCUGUUGUUAAAGAAGAACACGUAUGAGAGUAACUGUUCAUACGUUGACGGUAUUUAACCAGAAAGUCACGGCUAACUACGUGCCAGCAGCCGCGGUAAUACGUAGGUGGCAAGCGUUAUCCGGAUUUAUUGGGCGUAAAGAGAGUGCAUGCGGUUUUCUAAGCCUGAUGUGAAAGCCUUCGGCUUAACCGGAGAAGUGCAUCGGAAACUGGAUAACUUGAGUGCAGAAGAGGGUAGUGGAACUCCAUGUGUAGCGGUGGAAUGCGUAGAUAUAUGGAAGAACACCAGUGGCGAAGGCGGCUACCUGGUCUGCAACUGACGCUGAGACUCGAAAGCAUGGGUAGCGAACAGGAUUAGAUACCCUGGUAGUCCAUGCCGUAAACGAUGAGUGCUAGGUGUUGGAGGGUUUCCGCCCUUCAUGCCGGAGCUAACGCAUUAAGCACUCCGCCUGGGGAGUACGACCGCAAGGUUGAAACUCAAGG